GUGAGUCCGGGGCGGGCAGCCGCGGUAAUAGGGGGGGUCCGGACGGUAUCCGGAAUCAUUGGGUUUAAAGGGUGCGCAGGCGGUAAAUUAGGUCAGUGGUGAAAUCCUGCAGCUCAACUGCAGAACUGCCAUUGAUACUGCGAUACUAGAAUGUAGUCGAAGUGGGCGGAAUGUGACAUGUAGCGGUGAAAUGCUUAGAUAUGUCACAGAACACCGAUAGCGAAGGCAGCUCACUAGACUAAUAUUGACGCUCAUGCACGAAAGCGUGGGGAGCGAACAGGAUUAGAUACCCCUGUAGUC
This 300-nucleotide ribosomal RNA is filed under the name uncultured Methanosarcina sp. RNAcentral describes it as "bacterial SSU rRNA". It matches the Rfam family "Bacterial small subunit ribosomal RNA", at positions 496 to 795 of the family's 1533-position model. The record is from RNAcentral. Lineage: Archaea; Methanobacteriati; Methanobacteriota; Methanomicrobia; Methanosarcinales; Methanosarcinaceae.